Molecule: ribosomal RNA, 253 nt
Filed under: uncultured bacterium
Lineage: Bacteria
Description: partial 16S ribosomal RNA
Rfam family: Bacterial small subunit ribosomal RNA
Source: RNAcentral
UACGUAGGGUGCGAGCGUUAAUCGGAAUUAUUGGGCGUAAAGAGCUCGUAGGCGGUUUGUCGCGUCUGCUGUGAAAACUCGGGGCUUAACCCCGGGCCUGCAGUGGGUACGGGCAGACUAGAGUGCGGUAGGGGAGACUGGAAUUCCUGGUGUAGCGGUGAAAUGCGCAGAUAUCAGGAGGAACACCAGUGGCGAAGGCGGCUCACUGGCCCGUUACCGACGCUCAGGCGCGACAGCGUGGGGAGCAAACAGG